GAUGAACGCUAGCGACAGGCCUAAUACAUGCAAGCCGAACGGCAAGUUUGAUAGCAAUAUUGGACCUAGAGUGGCGCAAGGGUGCGUAACACGUAUGCAACCUGCCCGCGACAGGAGGAUAGCUCCCCGAAAGGGGAAUUAACCCUCCAUAACACCAUGAGAAGGCAUCUGAUUAUGGUUAAACCGCAAGGGGUCGCGGAUGGGCAUGCGGUUGAUUAGCUAGUUGGCGGGGUAAAGGCCCACCAAGGCGGUGAUCAAUAGGGGUUCGGAGAGGAAGGUCCCCGACACUGGCACUGGGAUACGGGCCAGACUCCUACGGGAGGCAGCAGUAGGGAAUAUUGGGGAAUGGUUGCAAGACUGAACCAGCCAGGCCGCGUGCAGGAAGAAGGCCUUCUGGGUCGUAAACUGCUUUUACCUGUGGAUAAAAUACCCGUGCGCGGGGAAUUGAAGGUAACAGGGGAAUAAGCCACGGCUAACUACGUG
RNAcentral lists this ribosomal RNA (483 nucleotides) under uncultured bacterium. RNAcentral describes it as "partial 16S ribosomal RNA". It matches the Rfam family "Bacterial small subunit ribosomal RNA", at positions 28 to 507 of the family's 1533-position model. The record is from RNAcentral.